AACCUGAACACACACUGUUCACUUGUGUCUGGAAGAUCUUCUCUGUUUGAAUACUCUCGAGUCAUUGGUUGGACUGAAAAAUCGUGAGAAUUUCGUUGUGGCUUUGCUUUUUAAACUGUUUGUUGAACCUGUUCUGUAUUUUGAUAUACAGCAACAAAAUGUCCUUUGUUGAAGGAAGGAUGACCAUCUACAGACCCAUCAGGGUGUUGUUUGACACACCCAUAUAUGAGCGAGCUCUGCAGAUCUGUUGGCACUUGCCCUCUUAUAAGUCUAUGAUUGCACUGAUGUCUCAGUUGUUGAGGCUUCAGCAGAAAAACCAGCUCCCUUCUGAGGUGACUGCUGAAAAGAUGAGUGAGCGGCUGGUUGAGCACGGCAAAG
This is a long non-coding RNA of Larimichthys crocea (large yellow croaker), 378 nucleotides long. RefSeq lists it as uncharacterized. The transcript has 3 exons. NCBI's taxonomy places the organism in Eukaryota, Metazoa, Chordata, Actinopteri, Sciaenidae. The record is from RefSeq and is a predicted model, not a curated record.